Long non-coding RNA from Pipra filicauda (Wire-tailed manakin), 463 nucleotides. RefSeq lists it as uncharacterized. The record is from RefSeq and is a predicted model, not a curated record. The transcript has 2 exons. NCBI's taxonomy places the organism in Eukaryota, Metazoa, Chordata, Aves, Passeriformes, Pipridae.
CCGGGGCUGCUCCCCGGCCAUGGCCCCGGUCACCCCGCGCCCGAAGCGUGGAUUUUCCUCCCAGGGCUGGCCAUCUUGCUGUUGGAGUUCAGUGGGGGUUUUUUAACCAAGGACACCGAGCACUGUUUGCCCUCCGACUCGAAAGGCUCGGAGCUGCUCCCCGAGGCAGCAGGAUGGAGCAGCUCAGUCAGAGAAUCACAGAAUUGUUGGGGUUGGAAGGGACCUCUGCAGAUCAUCCCGUCCAACCUUCCUGCCAUGGCAGGGUCACCUGGAGCAGGUGACACAGGAACGUGUCCAGCGAUAUGGAAAUCCAUCAGAACCUCGUGGCCUCAGUGACACUGCAGACACAGUCUGUGGGCUGACAUCCUGGGACAUACCCUGGCAGCCAGAUUGCCUUCUCAGAGUUACAUCAGUUUUGCAGCAUUAAAAGGAACAAACUUCUUUUUCUCCAGUGACAAGGAAA